Molecule: non-coding RNA, 366 nt
Organism: Pelobates cultripes (western spadefoot toad)
Lineage: Eukaryota; Metazoa; Chordata; Amphibia; Anura; Pelobatidae
Source: the annotation of a GenBank genome assembly
CACGCUGGAGGCGGUCACAGAUAGCGCGCACCCCACGCGCAAAAGAGCCCCUGGCCGGGCUAAAAAGGCUAGAUUAUGGAAACGGGCUAGAGCCCUGGAUGAUGUGUCGGAUACCGACCGGAGUGUGGAGGACGAAUCCGACUUUAUGGAAUACGAUUCCUUUGAUGAGGGUGAAUCUGGCGAGGAUUUGCCCCUUACGGGCGUGACCCCCUCAGGGUCCUCUGCCAAGGCCUCUGGGGAUACCAAAGUGAUUCUUGACCCACAGGGUAACCCCCUGUCCGACCCGGAUGACCUACGACACCCCCGGUCUGCUGAAUGGGUCCCCCCUGAUCAUAUUGCCCAGUAUGUGGCUAAGCGUAUUCGCAC